AAAAACCAUAUAGUUAAUUCUCAUUUUAAGUGUUUGCUGUUUUAUCUUGAACAUCUUUCUUUCAGAAUGAUUUGAGUCUUGUUGGUAGGCAUUGUUCAAUAGUCAACAUAAAUGCAACUUUGUAUUUUGAAUGAUCAGUCUAACUUCUCCAUUGAAACAAGCGACAGAUCUUCAGUGAGCAAAGAGGGCAGUGGAAGGCAGGAACCCAACCCCAGGAGUUCCUUUGAACCCUUCAGCGUUAAUACAAUUAUGCUUACACAGAUCCUGAGAAGCAGGAUGCUAUAAAUGUAUUCUUGGGCCAUUUCCAGCCUCAACAAGGCAAACCUCCUCUUGUGGAAGUUGGACUGAGAUCAGCAUUACAAUAUUGGCCGCCAAGGAACUCUAAGUGAAGAAACUGGAAGACUGAUGCAGAAGCAAAGCAUUUCAAGAAAAAUUUCCUCCAACUGAGGGCAAGAAGGGGCCUACACCACUGACAGCCAUUGCCAUGCAGAAACGGUGAGCCCAGUGCACGGUGUUCACUUUCCUAGGAGUGCUAGUAGCAUCUGCAAAUAGUGCCAGCUCAAAAUAAGCACGUGCAUCGUAUUACUUGCUCUAUCUUGAGAAUGUAGAUUCAUUUGGUUGGGAUAUAGUUGG
Aegilops tauschii subsp. strangulata is the source of this 633-nucleotide non-coding RNA. Lineage: Eukaryota; Viridiplantae; Streptophyta; Magnoliopsida; Poales; Poaceae. The record is from RefSeq and is a predicted model, not a curated record.